Molecule: ribosomal RNA, 492 nt
Filed under: uncultured bacterium
Lineage: Bacteria
Description: partial 16S ribosomal RNA
Rfam family: Bacterial small subunit ribosomal RNA
Source: RNAcentral
AGUGAACGCUGGCGGUAGGCCUAACACAUGCAAGUCGAACGGCAGCACAGUAAGAGCUUGCUCUUACGGGUGGCGAGUGGCGGACGGGUGAGGAAUACAUCGGAAUCUACUUUUUCGUGGGGGAUAACGUAGGGAAACUUACGCUAAUACCGCAUACGACCUACGGGUGAAAGCAGGGGAUCUUCGGACCUUGCGCGAUUGAAUGAGCCGAUGUCGGAUUAGCUAGUUGGCGGGGUAAAGGCCCACCAAGGCGACGAUCCGUAGCUGGUCUGAGAGGAUGGUCAGCCACACUGGAACUGAGACACGGUCCAGACUCCUACGGGAGGCAGCAGUGGGGAAUAUUGGACAAUGGUCGCAAGCCUGAUCCAGCCAUACCGCGUGGGUGAAGAAGGCCUUCGGGUUGUAAAGCCCUUUUGUUGGGAAAGAAAAGCAGCAGGUUAAUACCCCGCUGUUCUGACGGUACCCAAAGAAUAAGCACCGGCUAACUUCGUG